UUUUUUUACAAACUGAUAGAUGAAACUGCAUGGAUGAGCUCGAGGCACCUUGACAUGGCCAUGUUUCUAAUACGCAAAAGACAACUCUCUCAUCCUCAACUAUUUGGAAGGGAGUGGACAACCGCCGAGUUUUGUCUGCAGCAAUUUUUACAGCCGUUUGCAAUGCCAAGUGGCAAACGAGUCACGAGGAAAC
Prunus persica (peach) is the source of this 193-nucleotide long non-coding RNA. RefSeq lists it as uncharacterized. The record is from RefSeq and is a predicted model, not a curated record. The transcript has 3 exons. Lineage: Eukaryota; Viridiplantae; Streptophyta; Magnoliopsida; Rosales; Rosaceae.